RNAcentral lists this ribosomal RNA (43 nucleotides) under uncultured Glomus. Its description in RNAcentral is "partial 28S ribosomal RNA". Lineage: Eukaryota; Fungi; Glomeromycota; Glomeromycetes; Glomerales; Glomeraceae. The record is from RNAcentral.
GUAAGAAUACCCGCUGAACUUAAGCAUAUCAAUAAGCGGAGGA